RNAcentral lists this ribosomal RNA (468 nucleotides) under uncultured bacterium. RNAcentral's name for it is "partial 16S ribosomal RNA". It matches the Rfam family "Bacterial small subunit ribosomal RNA", at positions 28 to 507 of the family's 1533-position model. The record is from RNAcentral.
GACGAACGCUGGCGGCGUGCUUAACACAUGCCAGUCGAACGGAAAGGCCCUGCUUUUGUGGGGUGCUCGAGUGGCGAACGGGUGAGUAACACGUGAGUAACCUGCCCUUGACUUUGGGAUAACUUCAGGAAACUGGGGCUAAUACCGGAUAGGAGCUCCUGCUGCAUGGUGGGGGUUGGAAAGUUUCGGCGGUUGGGGAUGGACUCGCGGCUUAUCAGCUUGUUGGUGGGGUAGUGGCUUACCAAGGCUUUGACGGGUAGCCGGCCUGAGAGGGUGACCGGCCACAUUGGGACUGAGGUACGGCGCAGACUCCUACGGGAGGCAGCAGUGGGGAGUAUUGCACAGUGGGCGGAAGCCUGAUGCAGAGACGCCGCGUGCGGGAUGACGGCCUUCGGGUUGUAAACCGCUUUCGCCUGUGACGAAGCGUGAGUGACGGUAAUGGGUAAAGAAGCACCGGCUAACUACGUG